UGGCAAUGUUGCUCAAGAACACUUUGGAUGGUGCAAAGCAUGAUAUUGCUCAAUAAAGCCACCCUUGUCCUUUGCAGAGUACUUUAUUAGCCAGGUAACAUUUUAUAUUUUGUAUGUGUUAUUCUGCUAUGUUUUCUUCAUAGCCUUUGCAAUUAAGAUGAGUUUUAGGUGUUUAAGCAAUGCGGUCAUGUUUAUUUAGGUUGUUAAGGUAUCUAGCAAUGAGUUUGAACCUUCAUAAUGAGAUAUACUAUAUGCAAAAGAGGUCACUAAGGAAAUGGAUCAGCUUUCAUAGAAUUGUCUCUUGAUUAUCAGAGUCCCAUGUCUGAAACCCACACAGAAAAUCUGGAAGCUCCACCCCACCUCUAACCAAGUAAUGCUAUUAUGUGUGAUCAUAUAAUUCAUAGGGAUUUUCCUAUUUAACAUGGAAUGUCUCUUGGGGAUUUCUUGCUAAUUUCUUUUUUUCUUACCGCAGUUGUUGCUCCACUGACAUUAACAGCCGUUGGCAGUGGUUGUUGGUCGUUGGGAGAAGGACUUUAGGUAAAGAACAACCUUGGAGAAGAACUAGAACAAGAAAGAACAAGUUUGGAUAAGUAGAACUAGUUUGGUUUUGUUGUUCCAAUAUAAAGCUCUCAUCUUAGUUUUAGUCUGUAGUGAGAAGUUGAAAUCUAAUUACAAGAAUUGGGAAUGUAAAGGAUAAGUAGCUCAGAGUCAACUGUUAUAUUUUCUAGAAUUGUUUCUUUGUUUACUCAAUUUCGUUUCCAAGAAUUGCUUAUGUUUAGCUUUGUUCCUCCAUUUAUUUAUUUAUUUUUUUUUUGGAAAGACUUUGUUCCUCAAUUUUUUUAAUUGCGGAUCUGCUACUUUUUGUUGGAUUGAAGCAAAUAACAUUAAUAUUUUGUUAUAUAUCAUCGGUUAUUUUUUUUUUCCAUUAUUCUGCUUUUUAGUUCGACACUGCACCAAACGCUUCACUAAGUUAGUCCAGCUUAGUCUAGUCUAAGCCAGUCCAACUUAGUCCCUACAGCUAGUCCAGUCCGAGACAGUCCGGUGCAACAAACGCACCCUAAAGGAUUAAUGACCUUGUACCAAAAAAUUCAGUCGCGUACAAGCCUCAUCAGAUGAUUUAGCUGCAGGUCCAAACAUGUCUCCUUCUGAUGUUUGUCUUCCUCGCUAGAUGAUUCACUUGCAAGUCCAAGCCCGUCUUCGUAUCCAUCCCCACCAACAGGUUCUACUUGUGAAGCGAUAUCACCAAUGUCAUCUUAAAGGACAUCUUCAAUUCUUAAUCUUGGGAUGCUUGGUUGGCUACUUCUAAUGUUGGUGAUUUGAGAAUUGUGUUUCAUCCACUGCCUUUAACUAAAUCCUUAUUGUAGACCGAAAAAUUUCACAUGUUGUUUAAAUGUAUUUUUCUUGCAUACCAAAUAUAAAAGUUGUCAAUGAAUUUAUACUAAUGAUUGAAUCGAUUUCAUUUGAGGUGAAUAUAUGAAUUGCAGUAGGUUUCAUUAAUUCUAGUUGUGUAUAUCUUGUGGUUACAGUGACUUAUAUACCAAGAUUAUUCAUAUCACACACACACACACACACACAUACAUAUAUGGGUUAAUCUCAGUUUACUACCCUGAAGUUUCUUAGUUUUCAAAAUUUAAUACAUGAAGUAUUUUUUUUUAUCCCAAAGUGGUACCUAAAGUCAUAAUUUUGGGACACUUUCAUACAUUUGUCAAGGUUGUUGUUAAAUCGGUCAUUAACUGGUGACGUGGCACCCACAUGGAUA
RNAcentral lists this long non-coding RNA (1759 nucleotides) under Malus domestica (apple). Its description in RNAcentral is "long non-coding RNA (MDOM_LNC014914)". Lineage: Eukaryota; Viridiplantae; Streptophyta; Magnoliopsida; Rosales; Rosaceae. The record is from RNAcentral.